GGCUGAUCCAAAGGCAGUGAGUCAUCUCAGAUGACUAUUCUCUGAGUUACAACGAAGCUAUUUGUUUUUCUUUCUUCCCCUUUCUCAUUACUGCACUUGACUAAUCUUGA
Unclassified non-coding RNA from Otolemur garnettii (small-eared galago), 110 nucleotides. It matches the Rfam family "Y RNA". From Rfam's summary of the family: Y RNAs are components of the Ro ribonucleoprotein particle (Ro RNP), in association with Ro60 and La proteins. The Y RNAs and Ro60 and La proteins are well conserved, but the function of the Ro RNP is not known. Lineage: Eukaryota; Metazoa; Chordata; Mammalia; Primates; Galagidae. The record is from Ensembl.